UCGAGAUGAUGGAGAGCGCCUA
RNAcentral lists this microRNA (22 nucleotides) under Pristionchus pacificus. RNAcentral describes it as "ppc-miR-8296-5p". Lineage: Eukaryota; Metazoa; Nematoda; Chromadorea; Rhabditida; Neodiplogasteridae. The record is from miRBase by way of RNAcentral.